UACAGAGGGUGCGAGCGUUAAUCGGAAUUACUGGGCGUAAAGCGCACGUAGGCGGCUUGGUAUGUCGGAUGUGAAAUCCCCGGGCUCAACCUGGGAACUGCAUCCGAAACUGCCUUGCUAGAGUAUGGGAGAGGGAAGUGGAAUUUCCGGUGUAGCGGUGAAAUGCGUAGAUAUCGGAAGGAACAUCAGUGGCGAAGGCGACUUCCUGGACCAAUACUGACGCUCAGGUGCGAAAGCGUGGGGAGCAAACAGG
RNAcentral lists this ribosomal RNA (253 nucleotides) under uncultured bacterium. RNAcentral's name for it is "partial 16S ribosomal RNA". It matches the Rfam family "Bacterial small subunit ribosomal RNA", at positions 524 to 776 of the family's 1533-position model. The record is from RNAcentral.